AUUGAACGCUGGCGGCAGGCCUAACACAUGCAAGUCGAGCGAGCGGCGGACGGGUGAGUAAUGUCUGGGAAACUGCCUGAUGGAGGGGGAUAACUACUGGAAACGGUAGCUAAUACCGCAUACCAUCAGAUGUGCCCAGAUGGGCUUAGUUAGUAGUUGGGGUAACGGCUCACCUAGGCGACGAUCCCUAGCUGGUCUGAGAGGAUGACCAGCCAAACUGGAACUGAGACACGUUCGAGACUCCGACGGGAGGCAUCAUUGGGGCACAUUGCACAAUGGGCGCAAGCCUUAUGAAGCCAUGCCUGGUGUGUGAAGAAGACGUUCGGGUUGGAAAGCACUUUCAGCGGGGAGGCGUUACCUGCAGAAGAAGCACCGGCUAACUCCGUGCCAGUAGCCGCGGUAAUAC
Molecule: ribosomal RNA, 406 nt
Filed under: uncultured bacterium
Lineage: Bacteria
Description: partial 16S ribosomal RNA
Rfam family: Bacterial small subunit ribosomal RNA
Source: RNAcentral